AUGCAAGUCGAGCGGUAAGGCCCCUUCGGGGGUACACGAGCGGCGAACGGGUGAGUAACACGUGAGCAACCUACCCUCAACUUUGGGAUAAGCCUCGGAAACGGGGUCUAAUACCGGAUAAUACUGACCGUCUCAUGGUGGUUGGUUGAAAGUUCUGGCGGUUGGGGAUGGGCUCGCGGCCUAUCAGCUUGUUGGUGGGGUAAUGGCCUACCAAGGCGUCGACGGGUAGCCGGCCUGAGAGGGCGACCGGCCACACUGGGACUGAGACACGGCCCAGACUCCUACGGGAGGCAGCAGUGGGGAAUAUUGCGCAAUGGACGAAAGUCUGACGCAGCAACGCCGCGUGAGGGAUGACGGCCUUCGGGUUGUAAACCUCUUUCAGCAGGGACGAAGCGAGAGUGACGGUACCUGCAGAAGAAGGACCGGCCAACUACGUGCCAGCAGCCGCGGUAAUACGUAGGGUCCGAGCGUUGUCCGGAAUUAUUGGGCGUAAAGGGCUCGUAGGCGGUUCGUCACGUCGGGAGUGAAAACUCGGGGCUUAACCCCGAGCCUGCUUCCGAUACGGGCAGACUAGAGGUAGGCAGGGGAGAGCGGAACUCCUGGUGUAGCGGUGGAAUGCGCAGAUAUCAGGAAGAACACCGGUGGCGAAGGCGGCUCUCUGGGCCUUACCUGACGCUGAGGAGCGAAAGCGUGGGUAGCGAACAGGAUUAGAUACCCUGGUAGUCCACGCCGUAAACGUUGGGCGCUAGGUGUGGGGGACAUUCCACGUCCUCCGUGCCGCAGCUAACGCAUUAAGCGCCCCGCCUGGGGAGUACGGCCGCAAGGCUAAAACUCAAAGGAAUUGACGGGGGCCCGCACAAGCGGCGGAGCAUGCGGAUUAAUUCGAUGCAACGCGAAGAACCUUACCUGGGUUUGACAUAUAGGGAAAUCUCGCAGAGAUGCGGGGUCCGUAAGGGUCCUAUACAGGUGGUGCAUGGCUGUCGUCAGCUCGUGUCGUGAGAUGUUGGGUUAAGUCCCGCAACGAGCGCAACCCUCGUCCUAUGUUGCCAGCACGUCCUUCGGGAUGGUGGGGACUCAUAGGAGACUGCCGGGGUCAACUCGGAGGAAGGUGGGGAUGACGUCAAGUCAUCAUGCCCCUUAUGUCCAGGGCUUCACGCAUGCUACAAUGGCCGGUACAAAGGGCUGCGAAACUGUAAGGUGGAGCGAAUCCCAAAAAGCCGGUCUCAGUUCGGAUUGGGGUCUGCAACUCGACCCCAUGAAGUCGGAGUCGCUAGUAAUCGCAGAUCAGCAACGCUGCGGUGAAUACGUUCCCGGGCCUUGUACACACCGCCCGUCACGUCAUGAAAGUCGGCAACACCCGAAGCCGGUGGCCUAACCCUUGUGGAGGGAGCCGUCGAAGGUGGGGCUGGUG
Molecule: ribosomal RNA, 1411 nt
Filed under: Kribbella sp. PL77
Lineage: Bacteria; Bacillati; Actinomycetota; Actinomycetes; Propionibacteriales; Kribbellaceae
Description: bacterial SSU rRNA
Rfam family: Bacterial small subunit ribosomal RNA
Source: RNAcentral